Long non-coding RNA from Alligator mississippiensis (American alligator), 3581 nucleotides. RefSeq lists it as uncharacterized. The transcript has 3 exons. The record is from RefSeq and is a predicted model, not a curated record. Lineage: Eukaryota; Metazoa; Chordata; Crocodylia; Alligatoridae.
AAUUCCUCCCUCUGACCGAGCUCUGGUUACUGCUGCAUUUCUCUGAUCUGAAGACACUGUGGGAAUCAGCGCAGUAGCUAUAUGUUGUGCUUCUGGCAUUUGAGAGAGGCCUGGUCUCAAGUGACCGACUGAAACUGUUUCACCGGAAGUUCGGAGAUGGAAAAACUGCAGCUGGUUCACAGCUCCCCCGUUUCCAGCCCUUGCCCUGACUGACUCCCUGGAUCGUUUCUGGCAGCUGCCUCUAGGUUCCUGGCCCAGCAGUGGAGGAAGCUGGCAUGCUGGCGCACUGUGUGAUCAUUUCACGUACUCAGGAAUCGCUGACAGCAGACUUAACCACUGGUGAUCGUUCAUCAGAAGAGUUCAAUGCAGGAAAUGGUGGUAGCAAAGUGGAGGGGAUGCCACCUAGUUCUUGUAUUCUGGGAUGUGGUGAGUAACAGAGUAACUUUGUCUGUGCUCUUCAUGAUUGGACUCUACCGUUUCCUGUGACUGGAUGAAGUUCGGUGGCUCUGCAUGAGUGAUACCUAUCCAAUAUGCUUAUUCUAAGCUUCCACUGCAGGUAACUUAAUUGUUAAUAAUUUGUUAUCAAUAUUAUUUUCCCUAGUUAACUUUUAAUAGAACUUGGCCUUGGGAAGACUUAAUUUAAACUAGGUUGUCAAGACAAUCUCCAUGAACGAGUACUUGGGAAGACAAUACAAUGUGAGGGAAAGCAAGCCAAUAACUGCAAAAACAGAGGGACUGUAAAACCUAGAUUUUUAAAUUGAAAAACUAGGCUUUAAUAUAUAUGAUUAGAUGUACUCCUCUACUAUAAUCUAUAUAUCAUUCUGACUGCUCUUUUUUUUCUUUUCUUUUAUUUGAUUACAAUUAACUAGCUGUUAAGGCAGACUUAACAACCCUUAAAACACUCAUUUCUCAGGUGUCAUCCACUUCAGAACUGCACAGUGUUCUAAGGGUUUGGGAGAUCGAUCCGCUGGAAUUAUUUGCAGGGAGAGUUAGAAGGGUUCCUGGAAAAUGAAGUGGACUGUGUCUUCUGUCUGACAGCAGGGGGGAAUGAAAGCUCAGCAGUUGCAAAGUGGGAGGCAUAUGAAAAAUGUUUGCUUUCUGUUCCUCUGUAUAAUUUACAAAGAACGAGUGGUGCUCUGAGUGGUACUAAAACCCUAUCAGCUAAAAAAAUUAUUAGACUGAAAUUCCAGCCCCUAAUGCUAUGGUAAUCAGAUAGUAUAUCACAUAUGGUAUGUAAACAUCAAGCCCAUUUUGAAAGACCUUACAAAGGUCUAAGUACAACAUGACUGCCAACUGUUUACCAAGCACUGAAGCAGACAUAGGAAUGGAGUCCCUCUCUGCAACCCAGCAGCUGAACUUCCAGUGCAUGUAAGACCUAAAAGUUACUACAGAGCAGGCAUGUCUACACAUGUAGUUAUGCACACCUAAGCUUAAUGUGCCUUUGUUUAAGGUGCAUUUAGGCAAUUUAGGUAAACAUCUACACAUAGACAUGCUAAUGCGCAUUAAGGCACUUUGAAUUUAAGCUGGCAUAGCUAAAUCACAUCCAUUGACACACACCACGUUAAUAUUAAGCAUCAACAUAUGGACUAAUGUGACUUAGCUAUGCCAGUUUAAAUUUGGUACUUGCUAUAAGCAGGUAUCAAAUUUAGGUGGGAUUAGCCUAAAAUCACCAUUUUUAAGGUGCAUUCAUGGCACACGUGUGGACAUGCGCUCUUAAUGCAACUUAAAAAUAUCGGUUUUAGGCUAAUCCUGCUUAAAAGGGCCACAUGUAGACAAGCCCAGCAAGGGCUAGCACUGAGACUAUAUACAGUAAAUUGUAUCAGGUGAGCCAUAUUGGAACACACCUACAGGUGGUGAUAUAAUCCACUGUCUUGGAAGUUAUUCUUUACAUGGACACCACAUCUAACUUUGUUCCCAUGCUGCCCAAGAAUUGUAGCAUCUCAGGUUUUCCUUUGAUGUGCCUGGACAGCAUAAGAUCUUGUAUAUUAAAUGGACUGCAUAUAAAAUGCAAGAAUAUCAAAAAAACAUAGGGCAGAGUGAAAGGUGCAGCAGCAAACUAAAUAUUGUACAUCUCUUGAGUCUGGUUGGUUGUUUAGACUGUAUGUCAGCUUGGAUAUUCCUGCUACAUAACAUUUAAUUCUAUACUUGGCAUCUACAACUCACAAAAACAAGCAAAAAAACCCCACUUGGAUAAACAUUUAUUUUUUAUAUUAAAGCACAUCCUCAGUUCAGAUAAAAUUUACAGCAUUUUGAGGAGUGUUUGAGCAGAACUUACUCCUGGCAAUAUCAAUUAUUCACCAGCUCUACUCUAUUUUUAUUUUAAAUUUUAAAUGUUAUGUAGAAUUAUUUACUCGUGAAUGGAUAGCCUUUAUGUGUUUGUUUCCCCUAAUGUAUGAUGUAUAAAAAAGUAGUAGUCAAACCACUGAAAAUAACUACCUGUAGGUUAUCUCUCACUGGCCUAGAGCCUUCUUGGUUUAGUUCACACCAGGCUACGGUCACCUUAUUUGGAAGUUAUCUUAUAGUUGAUGCCAUGUGACAGUGAUCCUAGAAAGAAUGAUCAGUCUGAAACCUUGAGAGGUUUUUUAUUUGUCACCAAAAUAUCCCAAAAUCAAUUUCCUCCUUUUUCAUGUGUAUGCUGUACUGUUUGGGUGAAUUUGAGGGGGUUCUUACUAAAUGACAGCUGUCUAGAUUCAAGGUUAGUGCCACACAAGUGGUGUGCUGCUACUCUUCUCUACUACUGCACGGAACGCUGAUCUCCACUGCAGCCCUGUUCUAGUUGUGCUCUAUUUACCUUGAUUUUGCCAAUGCAGUAGAGUCUUAAUUACUGCCUCAUUUCUGUUUCAGUCCUAAAAUCCCUAAACUACUUUGCCAGGGUUCCAUAAUGCUGACUUGUAACAAUUCUUGCUAUUGCAGUCCUAGUAUCCUCCACACAGAUCUGCUAUGGCCCCUUAAUUCUGACCCACAGCAGCUCUUCAUUCUUCAGGUAUAACAAGUGCUUAAAACUAGUUUUAGGUGUCAGUGUUAAUAUGUAGGCAAUCCAGGGGUUAAGAGCUCCAGGAACUGCCCAAAAUUACCCUGCAACAAGGCCCUGGGACUCCUAUGCACUUUUACCAAAUCACUUUAACUUUGAUCAUUCAUACGCUCUGUUUUUUCAGUUUUGAGUAAAGACUGUCAAUCAAACCAAGCUUUGUUAAAAACUAUGAAACUUAUCUGGACAGGAGAUAUAAUUACUGGGAAAUAGGUUAAAAUACCUCACCAUUUGAGAACUAAUUUUAUUUGAAGUAGUACUAGAAAAGUACUGGAACGAAUGCAUCACUUUGCUCCUUCAUGAUUUGCCUCAUCACCCUUUUCUUUCCUAAGUUCUUCAUCUUUCCUUAUGGUAUAUUUUUCACAUUGUUUUGAUAAUGCAAAGUCCCACCUGUACUGAUGUCUAAAGCUUUUGGUACAUAUGUAUUUAGCGUUUAAGGCUGAGAUCUUUACCUUGAGCAUUUUCUGAAUCAGGAGGCUCUGAUAUGGGCUCAGAGGCAGACAUUGUUGGUGAAUAGUCCUUGGUGGUAGCAUCCUUAGGAACGAGCACUGCA